RNAcentral lists this transfer RNA (65 nucleotides) under Xizicus maculatus. Its description in RNAcentral is "tRNA-Phe". Lineage: Eukaryota; Metazoa; Arthropoda; Insecta; Orthoptera; Tettigoniidae. The record is from RNAcentral.
AUUUAAAUAGCUUAUAUAUAGAGCAUGACACUGAAGAUGUUAAGGAAAUGUAGAAUUUUUAAAUG